GACGAACGCUGGCGGCGUGCUUAACACAUGCAAGUCGAACGGAAAGGCCUCUUUCGGGGGGUACUCGAGUGGCGAACGGGUGAGUAACACGUGAGUAACCUGCCCUUGACUUUGGGAUAACUUCAGGAAACUGGGGCUAAUACCGGAUAGGAGCUCCUGCUGCAUGGUGGGGGUUGGAAAGUUUCGGCGGUUGGGGAUGGACUCGCGGCUUAUCAGCUUGUUGGUGGGGUAGUGGCUUACCAAGGCUUUGACGGGUAGCCGGCCUGAGAGGGUGACCGGCCACAUUGGGACUGAGGUACGGCCCAGACUCCUACGGGAGGCAGCAGUGGGGAAUAUUGCACAAUGGGUGGAAGCCUGAUGCAGCAACGCCGGGUGCGGGAUGACGGCCUUCGGGUUGUAAACCGCUUUCGCUCAUGACGAAGCUUUGUGUGACGGUAGUGGGUAAAGAAGCACCGGCUAACUACGUG
Molecule: ribosomal RNA, 467 nt
Filed under: uncultured bacterium
Lineage: Bacteria
Description: partial 16S ribosomal RNA
Rfam family: Bacterial small subunit ribosomal RNA
Source: RNAcentral